AUUCCGGUUGAUCCUGCCGGAGGCUAUUGCUAUCGGUGUCCGAUUUAGCCAUGCGAGUUGUACGUUUAACGUAGCAGACUGCUCAGUAACACGUGGCCGAUCUACCCUAUGGACUGGGAUAACCACGGGAAACUGUGGCUAAUCCCUGAUAGCGCUCCCGAGCUUGAAUGCUGGGAGCGUUAAACGCUCCGGCGCCAUAGGAUGAGGCUGCGGCUGAUUAGGUAGACGGUGAGGUAACGGCUCACCGUGCCAAUAAUCGGUACGGGUCAUGAGAGUGAGAACCCGGAGACGGAAUCUGAGACAAGAUUCCGGGCCCUACGGGGCGCAGCAGGCGCGAAACCUUUACACUGCACGCCAGUGCGAUAGGGGGACACCGAGUGCGGAGGCAUAGAGCCUUCGCUUUUGUGUACCGUAAGGUGGUACACGAAUAAGGGCUGGGCAAGACCGGUGCCAGCCGCCGCGGUAACACCGGCAGCCCGAGUGAUGGCCGAUAUUAUUGGGCCUAAAGCGUCCGUAGCUGG
This 521-nucleotide ribosomal RNA is filed under the name Halobacteriales archaeon SW_6_65_46. RNAcentral's name for it is "bacterial SSU rRNA". It matches the Rfam family "Archaeal small subunit ribosomal RNA", at positions 1 to 528 of the family's 1478-position model. Lineage: Archaea; Methanobacteriati; Methanobacteriota; Halobacteria; Halobacteriales. The record is from RNAcentral.